This 402-nucleotide unclassified non-coding RNA is filed under the name soil metagenome. RNAcentral's name for it is "partial contains 5.8S ribosomal RNA, internal transcribed spacer 2, and large subunit ribosomal RNA". The stretch from base 1 to 120 matches the Rfam family "5.8S ribosomal RNA", at positions 35 to 154 of the family's 154-position model. The record is from RNAcentral.
GAUGAAGAACGCAGCGAAAUGCGAUACGUAGUGUGAAUUGCAGAAUUCCGUGAACCAUCGAAUCUUUGAACGCAAAUUGCGCUCGAGGCCUCGGCUAAGAGCAUGUCUGGCUCAGCGUCGGCUUACUACCCUCAAUCAAUUACCUUGUGAUGAUUGGUUGGAGCUGGCUUUCCGGUGUUCCAAUCAGGUUGCCGGUCAGCUGAAAAACAUUCACGCUGUGGAAGUCGCUUUCCCUUCAAAAAGGAAAGCCGAGUUCCGAUUUGGUAGGUGACCUUUGCCGGUUGCAUGCCUUCGUUGCUCGUUUUGGCUUUCAUGAUAGCGUGUGCAGGACGCCAUUUUGGCUUUCGACCUGAGCUCAGGCAAGAACACCCGCUGAACUUAAGCAUAUCAAUAAGCGGAGGA